AGCGAACGCUGGCGGCAGGCUUAACACAUGCAAGUCGAACGGGCGUAGCAAUACGUCAGUGGCAGACGGGUGAGUAACGCGUGGGAACGUACCUUUUGGUUCGGAACAACCCAGGGAAACUUGGGCUAAUACCGGAUAAGCCCUUACGGGGAAAGAUUUAUCGCCGAAAGAUCGGCCCGCGUCUGAUUAGCUAGUUGGUGAGGUAACGGCUCACCAAGGCGACGAUCAGUAGCUGGUCUGAGAGGANGAUCAGCCACAUUGGGACUGAGACACGGCCCAAACUCCUACGGGAGGCAGCAGUGGGGAAUAUUGGACAAUGGGCGCAAGCCUGAUCCAGCCAUGCCGCGUGAGUGAUGAAGGCCCUAGGGUUGUAAAGCUCUUUGUGCGGGAAGAUAAUGACGGUACCGCAAGAAUAAGCCCCGGCUAACUUCGUGCCAGCCGCCGCGGU
Molecule: ribosomal RNA, 448 nt
Filed under: uncultured bacterium
Lineage: Bacteria
Description: bacterial SSU rRNA
Rfam family: Bacterial small subunit ribosomal RNA
Source: RNAcentral